UUAAGCGACUAAGCGUACACGGUGGAUGCCCUGGCAGUCAGAGGCGAUGAAGGACGUGCUAAUCUGCGAAAAGCGUCGGUAAGGUGAUAUGAACCGUUACAGCCGGCGAUGUCCGAAUGGGGAAACCCAGUGUGAUUCGUCACACUAUCGUUAACUGAAUACAUAGGUUAACGAGGCGAACCGGGGGAACUGAAACAUCUAAGUACCCCGAGGAAAAGAAAUCAACCGAGAUUCCCCCAGUAGCGGCGAGCGAACGGGGAGCAGCCCAGAGUCUGAAUCAGCUUGUGUGUUAGUGGAACGGUCUGGAAAGUCCGACGGUACAGGGUGAUAGUCCCGUACACCAAAAUGCACAGGUUGUGAACUCGAAGAGUAGGGCGGGACACGUGGUAUCCUGUCUGAAUAUGGGGGGACCAUCCUCCAAGGCUAAAUACUCCUGACUGACCGAUAGUGAACCAGUACCGUGAGGGAAAGGCGAAAAGAACCCCGGCGAGGGGAGUGAAAAAGAACCUGAAACCGUGUACGUACAAGCAGUGGGAGCACCUUCGGGUGUGACUGCGUACCUUUUGUAUAAUGGGUCAGCGACUUAUAUUCUGUAGCAAGGUUAACCGUAUAGGGGAGCCGCAGGGAAACCGAGUCUUAACUGGGCGUUAAGUUGCAGGGUAUAGACCCGAAACCCGGUGAUCUAGCCAUGGGCAGGUUGAAGGUUGGGUAACACUAACUGGAGGACCGAACCGACUAAUGUUGAAAAAUUAGCGGAUGACUUGUGGCUGGGGGUGAAAGGCCAAUCAAACCGGGAGAUAGCUGGUUCUCCCCGAAAGCUAUUUAGGUAGCGCCUCGUGAACUCAUCUUCGGGGGUAGAGCACUGUUUCGGCUAGGGGGUCAUCCCGACUUACCAACCCGAUGCAAACUACGAAUACCGAAGAAUGUUAUCACGGGAGACACACGGCGGGUGCUAACGUCCGUCGUGAAGAGGGAAACAACCCAGACCGCCAGCUAAGGUCCCAAAGUCACAGUUAAGUGGGAAACGAUGUGGGAAGGCACAGACAGCCAGGAUGUUGGCUUAGAAGCAGCCAUCAUUUAAAGAAAGCGUAAUAGCUCACUGGUCGAGUCGGCCUGCGCGGAAGAUGUAACGGGGCUAAACUGUGCACCGAAGCUGCGGCAGCGACACUUAGGUGUUGUUGGGUAGGGGAGCGUUCUGUAAGCCUGCGAAGGUGGCCUGUGAGGGUUGCUGGAGGUAUCAGAAGUGCGAAUGCUGACAUAAGUAACGAUAAUGCGGGUGAAAAGCCCGCACGCCGGAAGACCAAGGGUUCCUGUCCAACGUUAAUCGGGGCAGGGUGAGUCGACCCCUAAGGCGAGGCCGAAAGGCGUAGUCGAUGGGAAACAGGUUAAUAUUCCUGUACUUGGUGUUACUGCGAAGGGGGGACGGAGAAGGCUAUGUUAGCCGGGCGACGGUUGUCCCGGUUUAAGCAUGUAGGCGGAGGUUCCAGGUAAAUCCGGUACCUUUUAACGCUGAGGUGUGAUGACGAGGCACUACGGUGCUGAAGUAACAAAUGCCCUGCUUCCAGGAAAAGCCUCUAAGCAUCAGGUAACAUUGAAUCGUACCCCAAACCGACACAGGUGGUCAGGUAGAGAAUACCAAGGCGCUUGAGAGAACUCGGGUGAAGGAACUAGGCAAAAUGGUGCCGUAACUUCGGGAGAAGGCACGCUGAUAUGUAGGUGAAGCCCCUGCGGGUGGAGCUGAAAUCAGUCGAAGAUACCAGCUGGCUGCAACUGUUUAUUAAAAACACAGCACUGUGCAAACACGAAAGUGGACGUAUACGGUGUGACGCCUGCCCGGUGCCGGAAGGUUAAUUGAUGGGGUUAUCCGUAAGGAGAAGCUCUUGAUCGAAGCCCCGGUAAACGGCGGCCGUAACUAUAACGGUCCUAAGGUAGCGAAAUUCCUUGUCGGGUAAGUUCCGACCUGCACGAAUGGCGUAAUGAUGGCCAGGCUGUCUCCACCCGAGACUCAGUGAAAUUGAACUCGCUGUGAAGAUGCAGUGUACCCGCGGCAAGACGGAAAGACCCCGUGAACCUUUACUAUAGCUUGACACUGAACAUUGAGCCUUGAUGUGUAGGAUAGGUGGGAGGCUUUGAAGCGUGGACGCCAGUCUGCGUGGAGCCAACCUUGAAAUACCACCCUUUAAUGUUUGAUGUUCUAACGUUGGCCCCUGACCGGGGUUGCGGACAGUGUCUGGUGGGUAGUUUGACUGGGGCGGUCUCCUCCCAAAGAGUAACGGAGGAGCACGAAGGUUAGCUAAUCCUGGUCGGACAUCAGGAGGUUAGUGCAAUGGCAUAAGCUAGCUUGACUGCGAGCGUGACGGCGCGAGCAGGUGCGAAAGCAGGUCAUAGUGAUCCGGUGGUUCUGAAUGGAAGGGCCAUCGCUCAACGGAUAAAAGGUACUCCGGGGAUAACAGGCUGAUACCGCCCAAGAGUUCAUAUCGACGGCGGUGUUUGGCACCUCGAUGUCGGCUCAUCACAUCCUGGGGCUGAAGUAGGUCCCAAGGGUAUGGCUGUUCGCCAUUUAAAGUGGUACGCGAGCUGGGUUUAGAACGUCGUGAGACAGUUCGGUCCCUAUCUGCCGUGGGCGCUGGAGAAUUGAGGGGGGCUGCUCCUAGUACGAGAGGACCGGAGUGGACGCAUCACUGGUGUUCGGGUUGUCAUGCCAAUGGCAUUGCCCGGUAGCUAAAUGCGGAAGAGAUAAGUGCUGAAAGCAUCUAAGCACGAAACUUGCCCCGAGAUGAGUUCUCCCUGAGACUUUAAGUCUCCUGAAGGAACGUUAAAGACGAUGACGUUGAUAGGUCGGGUGUGUAAGCGUAGCGAUACGUUGAGCUAACCGAUACUAAUGAACCGUGAGGCUUAACCUU
Molecule: ribosomal RNA, 2903 nt
Filed under: Klebsiella aerogenes
Lineage: Bacteria; Pseudomonadati; Pseudomonadota; Gammaproteobacteria; Enterobacterales; Enterobacteriaceae
Description: bacterial LSU rRNA
Rfam family: Bacterial large subunit ribosomal RNA
Source: RNAcentral